RNAcentral lists this unclassified non-coding RNA (329 nucleotides) under soil metagenome. RNAcentral describes it as "partial contains 5.8S ribosomal RNA, internal transcribed spacer 2, and large subunit ribosomal RNA". The stretch from base 1 to 120 matches the Rfam family "5.8S ribosomal RNA", at positions 35 to 154 of the family's 154-position model. The record is from RNAcentral.
GAUGAAGAACGUAGCGAAAUGCGAUAAGUAAUGUGAAUUGCAGAAUUCAGUGAAUCAUCGAAUCUUUGAACGCACAUUGCGCCCUCUGGUAUUCCGGGGGGCAUGCCUGUUCGAGCGUCAUUAUAACCACUCAAGCUCUCGCUUGGUAUUGGAGUUCGCGAUCUCGCGGCACCUAAAAUCAGUGGCGGUGCCUGUCGGCUCUACGCGUAGUAAUACUCCUCGCGAUUGAGUCCGGUAGGUUUACUUGCCAGCAACCCCCAAUUUUUACAGGUUGACCUCGGAUCAGGUAGGGAUACCCGCUGAACUUAAGCAUAUCAAUAAGCGGAGGA